GACCUGGUGGUGAAUGGUUCACACCCAAUCUGCUUACAUCAUCCUCCAAAGAAUGGAAAGUAGGAGCCCCGGUUUGAUUCCGGGCCAGGUCA
Non-coding RNA from Mycena alexandri, 92 nucleotides. The record is from the annotation of a GenBank genome assembly. Lineage: Eukaryota; Fungi; Basidiomycota; Agaricomycetes; Agaricales; Mycenaceae.